AGAUGGCGACCGGCGCACGGGUGAGUAACACGUAUCCAACCUGCCGAUAACUCGGGGAUAGCCUUUCGAAAGAAAGAUUAAUACCCGAUGGCAUAAUAGAACCGCAUGGUUUGAUUAUUAAAGAAUUUCGGUUAUCGAUGGGGAUGCGUUCCAUUAGGCAGUUGGUGGGGUAACGGCCCACCAAACCUUCGAUGGAUAGGGGUUCUGAGAGGAAGGCCCCCCACAUUGGAACUGAGACACGGUCCAA
Molecule: ribosomal RNA, 247 nt
Filed under: uncultured bacterium
Lineage: Bacteria
Description: partial 16S ribosomal RNA
Rfam family: Bacterial small subunit ribosomal RNA
Source: RNAcentral